GUGCCAGCAGCCGCGGUAAUACGGAGGGUGCGAGCGUUGUCCGGAUUUAUUGGGUUUAAAGGGUGCGUAGGUGGCCCGGUCAGUCAGUGGUGAAAUGCGGCCGCUCAACGGUCGAACUGCCAUUGAUACUGCCGGGCUUGAGACAGAUGGAGGCCGCCGGAACGGAUGGUGUAGCGGUGAAAUGCAUAGAUAUCAUCCAGAACACCGAUUGCGAAGGCAGGUGGCUACGCCUGGUCUGACACUGAGGCACGAAAGCAUGGGGAGCAAACAGGAUUAGAUACCCUGGUAGUCC
Molecule: ribosomal RNA, 292 nt
Filed under: uncultured bacterium
Lineage: Bacteria
Description: partial 16S ribosomal RNA
Rfam family: Bacterial small subunit ribosomal RNA
Source: RNAcentral